This 253-nucleotide ribosomal RNA is filed under the name uncultured bacterium. Its description in RNAcentral is "partial 16S ribosomal RNA". It matches the Rfam family "Bacterial small subunit ribosomal RNA", at positions 524 to 776 of the family's 1533-position model. The record is from RNAcentral.
UACGUAGGGUGCAAGCGUUGCCCGGAUUUAUUGGGCGUAAAGAGCUCGUAGGCGGCUGUCCACGUCGGAUGUGAAAGCUCGGGGCUCAACCCUGAGAGGCCAUUCGAUACGGGACGGCUAGAGGUAGGUAGGGGAGAUUGGAAUUCCUGGUGUAGCGGUGAAAUGCGCAGAUAUCAGGAGGAACACCGGUGGCGAAGGCGGAUCUCUGGGCCUUACCUGACGCUGAGGAGCGAAAGCUGGGGGAGCGAACAGG